UUUGAGUUGCGCAACUUCAGCUCAGGACACUCGUUUUUGCUUGAAAUGGGAUUUUUCAUAAAUUAAAGUCACCAGAAAAUUGAUCAUGAAGACAACAAGCAUCACUUAAUAAAAGGAGAAGGUUGUCCAGUGAUUACAGAGGCAUCCAUCGAAAUUGAAGGGUUCGUCUGAUGAUCCGAUGAUGAUGAGGCACAAAUUUCCUGUGACUUGCGAUCAAUUUGCACAAAUUUCUAGUGACUUGUGAUCAAUUUGUUUGGUGGUAAGACUAUCCGGCCUCAGCUCGAACAGUGUUUCAUACUUUAACUAGACGAUUUGGUGGUGGCUGGAUCCAGUUUAUCCGAUGAUUCUUCUGGUGGUUCUAGAGAGGGUCAAAUAGGAAAAUCGAGGUUCUCACGUACAGGACUGUGUCCAGUGCUGUGGUAAUUUCGUCCAGUGACAGAUGAUGAGAUGAUCGACUCAUCUGGUGGUUCGGCGGCCAGGAGGAUUUUCAAGGGUCACCAUAUGAUCUGGGGACUAGGAUUGGUCACCGUAUCAUCCACUGUUGUCCGAUUCAAAUUAUGUUUUUCCUAUUUCUUCUCUUCCGUUUUUGGCCGAAUUCAAUAUGUAUUAGCUAGGCAAGCCAUUGAGUUAAUUUGAUGUGUUUUUUAACCAAAUCAAUUUAGGAAGCUCUGGAUUUUGUCAAUACGCACUUGAGGGUGGAUAUAGUAUAUGAUCACUUCUAUAGCUUGUAGCAGUCUUGGGGUACUCAAGCAACAUCAGACAAGUAGCUAGUGACUAGGAACCCAUAUAUAGCCCAUUCACCCCAACUAGCUAGCCAUCGGAAACAUUUUGCAAUUUCUAUGUCACACCAGAUAGUCCAGUGGCCCUUGGGGAUCGGACUAUCCAGUGAAGCACCAUCCAACCGUUGCCAAUCACUAUAAAAAAAACAUUUGUAGAGACGUCUCCAUGUUUAAUAGAGAUGGGUCAAUAUACAAGCUUCUCUAAAGUAGUUUCCAAAAUGAGCACUAGUACAUUGGCACACUAUACAGGCGGUUGGUAACAUAUUUCUACAGGCGUUUUCCGGAUCCGCCUGCGCUGGAGGCCACUACAAAUCCUCCAUUUCCACAGGCGGUCACUUGAGAGCCGCCAGUAUAAACAUUUUACACAGGCGGCUCUCUUAGGAAACCGCCUGUGUAAAUGUUCAUUUACACAGGCGUUUCUAAGAGAGCCGCCUGUGUAAACCUAUUAAAUUAUGUAUUGUUUAUUUAUUUUUUAAUUUAUCUAUUUAUUUAUUUAUUAUUUUAUUGUUAUUAUUUAGAUAUAUCGAUAUUGGUUGGUCUUGUAACAUAGCAACAUGUAAUUUAAAUACUUCAUCUCAUACAUACAUUUGUAUAUAUCAAAGUUUAGUGCUCAAAGACAUAAAGUUAAUUACAAGAGUAUAUCCAUCAUCACACAUCAUAUAUAUACAUCAAAGUUUGUUUCUGUCCUCUAAUAACCCUCUUUAGUAAGUCUGAGCUUACUAAUCUCUGUUAGCACUCGGAACUCUGGCCUGGAUAAUUGGCUUUGAUCAUCAUGAUAUUUGCCUUCACGUGGAAUGACAUGCUUCAUGAUGAACGAGCAGAUGUCCUCAACUAUGUUGUCUAAAGCACGUUCGUCCAUGCGCUCCGCC
RNAcentral lists this long non-coding RNA (1648 nucleotides) under Sorghum bicolor (sorghum). RNAcentral describes it as "long non-coding RNA (SBIC_LNC011671)". Lineage: Eukaryota; Viridiplantae; Streptophyta; Magnoliopsida; Poales; Poaceae. The record is from RNAcentral.